Molecule: long non-coding RNA, 404 nt
Filed under: Nicotiana benthamiana
Lineage: Eukaryota; Viridiplantae; Streptophyta; Magnoliopsida; Solanales; Solanaceae
Description: long non-coding RNA (NBEN_LNC041135)
Source: RNAcentral
UUUUCUGAAUAUUUUAACUACUGAUAUCAGCCUUGUUCUAAUUUCUUGGUUUUAUUUACGUAUACCAUGAGUAUUUAAUCUCUGUUACUCAUUUCUUGCUUCUACGUUUUUACUGAGGGUUGGUCAUUUUUUCCUGCAUAGUCAAUUGGGGUUCUUUUCCUAAUUGUUUUGAUUCAUUGGUUCUGACAUAUAAAAACAUGCAUGAAUAUUCAUAUGAUCCUGAAGUUCUGAUAAUUGUUUCCAUCCUUUGUCACUGAAUAGUCCACAUUAAGAUGCUUGAUUGAAACUUAAGUUGCAUUGAUUAAUUCUCAAAUUCUUUGAUUGUUUUUACAUAAUCAAGUCUGUAGUUCAUACCUUGACUUUGACCCAUAACAUGAAUGCAACUAACUAGGGUACGAUUUGAC